This 417-nucleotide unclassified non-coding RNA is filed under the name Hevea brasiliensis (rubber tree). Lineage: Eukaryota; Viridiplantae; Streptophyta; Magnoliopsida; Malpighiales; Euphorbiaceae. The record is from RNAcentral.
AAGAUCCUGCACAUAAGUGGGGUGGACUGGGUGAGGUUCUGGGUGGUAACGAACUCAUUGACAGCCAGAUUGAAAUCAAGUUCCAAAAAAAUGUUGACAAGGGGUCUAUUUGUACACUUGAGCUUGAUGCUACCAAGGUAAAACAGUUCAAGGAGGCAAUAGAGAAGUCAUACUGGUUUGAACUCUUCAUCGAUGAUUUACCUUUGUGGGGUUUUGUUGGGGAGACUGAUAAAAAUAAUGAAAACAAGCAUUAUCUCUUCACGCACAAGGAUAUUGUUAUACAGUACAAUGGUAAUCAGAUUAUUCAUGUCAACCUGACUCAAGAGUCCCCUAAACUCUUGGAGGCGGGGAAAGCUUUAGAGAUGACAUACUCAGUCAAGUGGAUUCCAACAGAUGUAACAUUUGCACACCGAUUUG